This 447-nucleotide ribosomal RNA is filed under the name uncultured bacterium. Its description in RNAcentral is "bacterial SSU rRNA". It matches the Rfam family "Bacterial small subunit ribosomal RNA", at positions 355 to 825 of the family's 1533-position model. The record is from RNAcentral.
UCGGGAAUUUUGGGCAAUGGGCGAAAGCCUGACCCAGCAACGCCGCGUGAAGGAUGAAGUAUUUCGGUAUGUAAACUUCGAAAGAAUAGGAAGAAUAAAUGACGGUACUAUUUAUAAGGUCCGGCUAACUACGUGCCAGCAGCCGCGGUAAUACGUAGGGACCAAGCGUUGUUCGGAUUUACUGGGCGUAAAGGGCGCGUAGGCGGCAAUUCAAGUCAUCUGUGAAAUCUCCGGGCUUAACUCGGAACGGUCAGAUGAUACUGCUUUGCUAGAGUGCAGAAGAGGCAAUCGGAAUUCUUGGUGUAGCGGUGAAAUGCGUAGAUAUCAAGAGGAACACCUGAGGUGAAGACGGGUUGCUGGGCUGACACUGACGCUGAGGCGCGAAAGCCAGGGGAGCAAACGGGAUUAGAUACCCUUGUAGUCCCUGAGCGGGCUGGCAAGGCGCAU